ACCUGGCUGGCUUAGCUAGUAGAGCAUGGGACUCUUGAUCUCAGAGUUGUGAGUUCAAGCCCCACAUUGGGUG
This 73-nucleotide transfer RNA is filed under the name Canis lupus familiaris (dog). It matches the Rfam family "tRNA". From Rfam's summary of the family: Transfer RNA (tRNA) molecules are approximately 80 nucleotides in length. The record is from Rfam by way of RNAcentral. RNAcentral also lists the same sequence under 1 other name. Lineage: Eukaryota; Metazoa; Chordata; Mammalia; Carnivora; Canidae.